GCUGCAUCAUCAACCAACUGGGUGGGUUGCCCUAGAAAUCCUCCCUCUAGUUCCUGCCCCCCGCACAGCUCCAGCUCGUUCUCUGGUUACUGCCCCUCUGCUCCAUCUCUGGCAUCUCUCUGGUCUGCCACAACUAAUGAUUAAUUCCUGGCAUCAUGUAACAAGCUGUGGAAGAAACUGAAAAUCCAGUCAUAAAAAAAGGACUCCAAAGGGCAGGAAUGUUACAUCAAAAUUUCCUAAGCAUAAGUAACUGCCCUCUCCCCAACCAAAAACUUCUUAGGUCUGUGGGAAGAAGAGAUGAAAGAAAGAUGGCCUUUUUACAAGAUCAGAAAAUUCCCAGGCAAUCAGUGUCUGGGCAGUGUCAGGGCAAUCAGAGUCUGAAGUGUCAAUCAUUUUUAUUUUUUUAAGCACUUUCUUGGAUGUUUUAUGAUUUGAAUGAUUCUGUUGUGAGUGUAAAAUAAUUGGCUUUUCCAUUUAAAAAAGCAAUAAUGUGUUUCUAGUAAAAAUGCUAGAUUAAAAA
Molecule: long non-coding RNA, 520 nt
Organism: Panthera uncia (snow leopard)
Lineage: Eukaryota; Metazoa; Chordata; Mammalia; Carnivora; Felidae
Exons: 2
Source: RefSeq, a predicted model, not a curated record